UCCUUCACAUUUUCGAAGAAUCCAGAACCACCGCCUCUGCUCUUCUUCGAUCUCAGCUUGUCCACAACGUUCUCCAUCCUUCCUCUUCAAUCUUUAAAGGCACCGGCAUGGGUUUAUUAGAGAGCGCCGUUCAUCGUUGCUGCCCCAAGUUUCUCCUCUUCCUUGUUCUUUCAUCAUUCAAUUCGUCCCCUGCACUUGUGUUUGAGUUGGUUGCUGUCAGUUAUUAUUCCUCCUCUGCCAGGCAGCUUGUCGAUGUAAACAGGUGCGACCGCUCUGUGCACCGCUGCUGGGAAAUUUCACCUUCUCCUCUCCUGUCCGAGCUGCUGUGGUUCAGUGUACAAGGUUCCUUUCCUCUUCCCCUCUACAGCGUGAUAGAUUCAUCCUUCUUCCUUCUUUAUUCUGCCGUGGUUAAUAUGAGGAUGUGCAAAAAAAGGGGGGAUCUUGAUAGAAGUUGAAAGGAGAAAACCUUUGAAAUUUGAGAACAUU
This is a long non-coding RNA of Prosopis cineraria, 486 nucleotides long. RefSeq lists it as uncharacterized. The record is from RefSeq and is a predicted model, not a curated record. NCBI's taxonomy places the organism in Eukaryota, Viridiplantae, Streptophyta, Magnoliopsida, Fabales, Fabaceae. The transcript is spliced from 3 exons.